GGAAGGAUCAUUAACACGUGAUACUCACGUAUUUAAAUUCACCGUGAAUUUGUUUUCUAACCUAUUGUUGAUUGUAAAUAGAUUAUAUAAGGGAAUACUAUUGACCGCCUUUCGAAAGAUUGUACGUCAUAACUUAUAUAGUCGUUCUUUGGUCCGCCCAGGAGUUUGCACCAAAUAAAUAGAUGAUGAAUUACGACUGCUUAUUAAGCCUGUAGUAUAGCUUGCAGCUCGUAGUGAACUUAUUAACCCCUUUCUAUUAUUUAAUGAUUUGUAUGUUUAUAUGAAUUCCUGAUCUUCGGAUUGGUUGAGUUUAUGUAGAUGUCGUAUAUUACUAAUACGAAACAACUCUUAGCAACGGAUAUCUUGGUUCUCGUAACGAUGAAGAGCGCAGCGAAAUGCGAUACGUAAUGCGAAUUGCAGAAUUCAGUGAAUCAUCAAAUUCUUGAACGCAACUGGCGCCUUCAGGUCUACCUGGAGGCACGUUUCUCUCAGUGUCGGUUAUACUCUCUCCAUCAACUAAGUUUACUUAGUCUGUGUGGGAAUAUGAGCGUUAUGAUGUUAAAGUUAUAUCGCUUGAAAUCGAAUGAAGUUAGUUUCUCAUAGUUGGUGUUACUUUUCGGAGUUAAUACCGCUGUUUUCAACUUAGUGAUGUGGGUAAAUCAUUUUCGGAUGAUACUUUACGUCUAUACUAUAUUGUUUAUGGUUUACUGUGAGGAUAUUAGCGAAAAAUAGUAAUGGCUGGACUUCGGUUCAACUGUUCUCAUAUUUUGACCUGAGAUGAAGCGAGGCUACCCGCGGAAUUUAAGCAUAUUAUUACGCGGAGGAAAAGAAACUAACAAGGAUUCCCCUAGUAACGGCGAGUGAAGCGGGAAGAGCUCAAGUUUAAAAUCGAUGUGCUUUUGUACGUCGAGUUGUAGUCUCGAGACAGGCUGUCUGUGGUGACGUCGGUACAAGUACCUUGGAAGAGGUUAUCAGAGAGGGUGACAAUCCCGUCGCUGACCGACAGUUCGCCACUUUCGACGUUUGUUCACAGAGUCGGAUUGCUUGGGAGUGCAGUCCUAAUUGGGUGGUAAAUUUCAUCUAAAGCUAAAUAUUGACGAGAGACCGAUAGCGAACAAGUACCGUGAGGGAAAGAUGAAAAGAACUUUGAAAAGAGAGUCAAAAAGUACUUGAACUUGUUAAGAGGGGAGAGUUGAAAACUAGUGUUACUUGUAGUUACUUUCCCGCUCUGACUGAAACGUGUGCUUACUGGGAGUUUAAACCUCAGUGGGUAUUUGAAUUAGUUGGAGUGGUCCCUGUAAUUAUGAGUGGUCAGCAUCAUUUCGAAGCGUGGGAGAAAGUUGUGUGGAAGGUAGGGUCUUCGGAUCUGUUAUAGACAUGCAGCUAUACCAUGCUUUGGAUUGAGGAUGUAUCGGCGCUCCGUUUUACGGAGUAACCACCUGUUUCCUCAUAUGUUCUAGUUGCUGGAAAACAAUGUUUUGCUGUGAUUAGGAUGUGUGACUGAGAUGGGGCGUUACUGCGCCGACGCGAUGCUGACGAAAUGGUUUUCAUCUACCCGUCUUGAAACACGGACCAAGGAGUCUAACAUAUAUGCGAGUAUUUGGGUGGAAAACCCUGGUGCGUAAUGAAAGUAAAGGACAUGUAUUUGUCUGAGGUAGGAAUCCCGCAAGGGAGGCACUAUCGACCGAUCGUCACUUGUGAAAGAUUUGAGUAAGAGCAUAUCUGUUGGGACCCGAAAGAUGGUGAUCUAUGCCUGAACAGGGUGAAGCCAGGGGAAACUCUGGUGGAGGCUCGUAGCGAUACUGACGUGCAAAUCGUUCGUCUGAUUUGGGUAUAGGGGCGAAAGACUAAUCGAACUAUCUAGUAGCUGGUUCCCUC
RNAcentral lists this unclassified non-coding RNA (1878 nucleotides) under uncultured fungus. RNAcentral describes it as "sequence contains 18S rRNA gene, ITS1, 5.8S rRNA gene, ITS2, 28S rRNA gene". The stretch from base 769 to 1878 matches the Rfam family "Eukaryotic large subunit ribosomal RNA", at positions 1 to 961 of the family's 3401-position model. The record is from RNAcentral. Lineage: Eukaryota; Fungi.